Molecule: small RNA, 149 nt
Filed under: Callithrix jacchus (white-tufted-ear marmoset)
Lineage: Eukaryota; Metazoa; Chordata; Mammalia; Primates; Cebidae
Description: Metazoan signal recognition particle RNA (ENSCJAG00000071556.1)
Source: Rfam by way of RNAcentral
GCUGGGCAUUGGUGGUGUAUGCCUGUAAUCCUAGCUACUUGGGAGGCUGAGAUGGGAGGAUCACUUGGGCCCAGGAGGCAGAAGUUGCUAUGAACCAAGACUGCAUCACAGCAUUUCAGCCUGGGCUACAGAGUGAAACCCUGUCUCUA